GAAGAGGCAGUGCAUCUUAGAAACCCUAUUCUGCAGUGGUGUAGGUUUGUAAGGCAGAACCCUAUUCUGCAGUGGUGUAGGUUUGUAAGGCAGAACCCUAUUCUGCAGUGGUGUAGGUUUUUAAGGUAGAACCCUAUUCUGCAGUGGUGUAGGUUUGUAAGGCAGAACCCUAUUCUGCAGUGGUGUAGGUUUGUAAGGCAGAACCCUAUUCUGCAGCGGUGUAGGUUUGUAAGGCAGAACCCUAUUCUGCAGCGGUGUAGGUUUGUAAGGCAGAAGCCUAUUCUGUAGUGGUGUAGGUUUGUAAGGCAGAACCCUAUUCUGCAGUGGUGUAGGUUUGUAAGGCAGAACCCUAUUCUGCAGUGGUGUAGGUUUUUAAGGCAGAACCCUAUUCUGCGCAUGGCACUACACCAAAUAUUUAAAUUCUGGAGAUGUUCCGCUAACCAUCUAGCUAGUUAUGAUCCUCUGAAUGUACUUGCUAGCU
Long non-coding RNA from Brienomyrus brachyistius, 481 nucleotides. RefSeq lists it as uncharacterized. NCBI's taxonomy places the organism in Eukaryota, Metazoa, Chordata, Actinopteri, Osteoglossiformes, Mormyridae. The record is from RefSeq and is a predicted model, not a curated record. The transcript has 3 exons.